AAGGAUUUAAGUUGCUUGAAGAAUCUACAAUUCUUGAUCUUGAGGUACCACUUCCUUAAUGCAAUUUAUGCACAAAUAUAUCUUGUUAUAACUAUGAUAAUGUGAUGGCGAGGAUAUCUCUAUGGAAAUAUUGAAGAGCCAUUCCACGAUAUUUGUGAAAACAUUAUAUAUCUAUCACGAGUUAUGAUUUCAAGGUGCAAAUAUUCAUUAUAGUUAAUAUGGCUAGUUUAUUUAUCAAAUCUCUA
Molecule: long non-coding RNA, 245 nt
Filed under: Nicotiana benthamiana
Lineage: Eukaryota; Viridiplantae; Streptophyta; Magnoliopsida; Solanales; Solanaceae
Description: long non-coding RNA (NBEN_LNC026802)
Source: RNAcentral